Molecule: ribosomal RNA, 492 nt
Filed under: uncultured bacterium
Lineage: Bacteria
Description: partial 16S ribosomal RNA
Rfam family: Bacterial small subunit ribosomal RNA
Source: RNAcentral
AGUGAACGCUGGCGGUAGGCCUAACACAUGCAAGUCGAACGGCAGCACAGUAAGAGCUUGCUCUUACGGGUGGCGAGUGGCGGACGGGUGAGGAAUACAUCGGAAUCUACUUUUUCGUGGGGGAUAACGUAGGGAAACUUACGCUAAUACCGCAUACGACCUACGGGUGAAAGCAGGGGAUCUUCGGACCUUGCGCGAUUGAAUGAGCCGAUGUCGGAUUAGCUAGUUGGCGGGGUAAAGGCCCACCAAGGCGGCGAUCCGUAGCUGGUCUGAGAGGAUGAGCAGCCACACUGGAACUGAGACACGGUCCAGACUCCCACGGGAGGCAGCCGUGGGGAAUAUUGGACAAUGGGCGCAAGCCUGAUCCAGCCAUACCGCGUGGGUGAAGAAGGCCUUCGGGUUGUAAAGCCCUUUUGUUGGGAAAGAAAAGCAGCAGGUUAAUACCCCGCUGUUCUGACGGUAACCAAAGAAUAAGCACCGGCUAACUUCGUG